AUCGCUUCUCGGCCUUUUGGCUAAGAUCAAGUGUAGUAUCUGUUCUUAUCAGUUUAAUAUCUGAUACGUCCCCUACCCGGGGACCAUAUAUUAAAUUGAUUUUUGGAGCAGGGAGAUGGAAUAGGGGCUUGC
RNAcentral lists this small nuclear RNA (132 nucleotides) under Poecilia reticulata (guppy). RNAcentral describes it as "U2 spliceosomal RNA (ENSPREG00000007201.1)". It matches the Rfam family "U2 spliceosomal RNA", at positions 1 to 133 of the family's 192-position model. Rfam says of the family: U2 is a small nuclear RNA (snRNA) component of the spliceosome (involved in pre-mRNA splicing). The record is from Rfam by way of RNAcentral. Lineage: Eukaryota; Metazoa; Chordata; Actinopteri; Cyprinodontiformes; Poeciliidae.